GCCCCUUUGGGGGUACUCGAGUGGCGAACGGGUGAGUAACACGUGAGUAACCUGCCCUUGACUUCGGGAUAACUUCAGGAAACUGGGGCUAAUACCGGAUAGGAAUCCUUGCUGCAUGGUGGGGGUUGGAAAGCUUCGGCGGUUUUGGAUGGACUCGCGGCUUAUCAGCUUGUUGGUGGGGUAGUGGCUUACCAAGGCUUUGACGGGUAGCCGGCCUGAGAGGGCGACCGGCCACAUUGGGACUGAGAUACGGCCCAGACUCCUACGGGAGGCAGCAGUGGGGAAUAUUGCACAAUGGGCGGAAGCCUGAUGCAGCAACGCCGCGUGCGGGAUGACGGCCUUCGGGUUGUAAACCGCUUUCAGCAGGGGCGAAGCUUUUGUGACGGUACCUGCAGAAGAAGCACCGGCUAACUACGUGCCAGCAGCCGCGGUGAUACGUAGGGUGCGAGCGUUGUCCGGAUUUAUUGGGCGUAAAGAGCUCGUAGGUGGUUGAUUGCGUCGGAAGUGAAAACUUGGGGCUUAACCCUGAGCGUGCUUUCGAUACGGGUUGACUUGAGGAAGGUAGGGGAGAAUGGAAUUCCUGGUGGAGCGGUGGAAUGCGCAGAUAUCAGGAGGAACACCAGUGGCGAAGGCGGUUCUCUGGACCUUUCCUGACGCUGAGGAGCGAAAGCGUGGGGAGCGAACAGGCUUAGAUACCCUGGUAGUCCACGCUGUAAACGGUGGGUACUAGGUGUGGGGUCCAUUCCACGGAUUCCGUGCCGUAGCUAACGCAUUAAGUACCCCGCCUGGGGAGUACGGCCGCAAGGCUAAAACUCAAAGGAAUUGACGGGGCCCCGCACAAGCGGCGGAGCAUGCGGAUUAAUUCGAUGCAACGCGAAGAACCUUACCUGGGUUUGACAUGGACUGGGAGUGCUCAGAGAUGGGUAUGCCUCCUUGUGGGGCUGGUUCACAGGUGGUGCAUGGCUGUCGUCAGCUCGUGUCGUGAGAUGUUGGGUUAAGUCCCGCCCCGAGCGCAUCCCUCGUUCACUGUUGCCAGCACGUUAUGGUGGGGAACUCAGUGUAGACCGCCGGGGUCAACUCGGGAGGAACGUGGGGGAUGACCUCAAGUCGUCAUGCCCCUUAUGUACAGGGUUUUCACGCAUGCUACAAUGGCCCGGUAC
RNAcentral lists this ribosomal RNA (1160 nucleotides) under Propionibacterium sp. HKG211. RNAcentral describes it as "bacterial SSU rRNA". It matches the Rfam family "Bacterial small subunit ribosomal RNA", at positions 74 to 1240 of the family's 1533-position model. The record is from RNAcentral. Lineage: Bacteria; Bacillati; Actinomycetota; Actinomycetes; Propionibacteriales; Propionibacteriaceae.